AUCGCUUCUCGGCCUUUUGGCUAAGAUCAAGUGUAGAAACUAAUCAUUAUCUCUGUCCCUUUAAAAUUUCUUUCUUGGGCGGGGAUUUAGCUCAGUGUUUCCACCGCCUGCCUUGCAACCACA
Heterocephalus glaber (naked mole-rat) is the source of this 123-nucleotide small nuclear RNA. Its record names the gene U2. It matches the Rfam family "U2 spliceosomal RNA". Rfam says of the family: U2 is a small nuclear RNA (snRNA) component of the spliceosome (involved in pre-mRNA splicing). Complementary binding between U2 snRNA (in an area lying towards the 5' end but 3' to hairpin I) and the branchpoint sequence (BPS) of the intron results the bulging out of an unpaired adenosine, on the BPS, which initiates a nucleophilic attack at the intronic 5' splice site, thus starting the first of two transesterification reactions that mediate splicing. The record is from Ensembl. NCBI's taxonomy places the organism in Eukaryota, Metazoa, Chordata, Mammalia, Rodentia, Bathyergidae.